This 463-nucleotide ribosomal RNA is filed under the name uncultured bacterium. Its description in RNAcentral is "partial 16S ribosomal RNA". It matches the Rfam family "Bacterial small subunit ribosomal RNA", at positions 28 to 507 of the family's 1533-position model. The record is from RNAcentral.
GACGAACGCUGGCGGCGUGCUUAACACAUGCAAGUCGAACGGAAAGGCCUUUUCGGAGGUACUCGAGUGGCGAACGGGUGAGUAACACGUGGGUGAUCUGCCCUGCACUCUGGGAUAAGCCUGGGAAACUGGGUCUAAUACCGGAUAGGACCGCACUUUAGUGUGUGUGGUGGAAAGUUUUUUCGGUGUAGGAUGAGCCCGCGGCCUAUCAGCUUGUUGGUGGGGUAAUGGCCUACCAAGGCGGCGACGGGUAGCCGGACUGAGAGGUUGGUCGGCCACAUUGGGACUGAGAUACGGCCCAGACUCCUACGGGAGGCAGCAGUGGGGAAUAUUGCACAAUGGGCGCAAGCCGGAUGCAGCGACGCCGCGUGGGGGAGGACGGCCUUCGGGUUGGAAACUCCUUUCGCCAGGGACGAAGCGUUUUGUGACGGUACCUGGAGAAGAAGCACCGGCUAACUACGUG